GUGAGGAAUUUUUCGCAAUGGGGGCAACCCUGACGAAGCAACACCGCGUGGAGGAUGAAUGGCUUUUGCUUGUAAACUCCUUUUUUGAGGGAAUAAAUAUGAAUGUACCUCAAGAAUAAGCGACGGCUAACUACGUGCCAGCAGCCGCGGUAAGACGUAGGUCGCGAGCGUUAUCCGGAAUUAUUGGGCGUAAAGAGUUCGUAGACGAACUGUUAAGUAGAAUGUUAAAUACCAGGGCCUAACCCUGGGAGUGUGUUCUAAACUGGCAGAAUAGAGUAAUGCAGAGGCAAGUGGAAUUCUGUGUGUAGGGGUAAUAUCCGUAGAUAUACAGAGGAACACCAAAAGCGAAGGCAGCUUGCUGGGCAUUUACUGACGUUCAAGAACGAAAGCGUGGGGAGCAAACAGGAUUAGAAACCCCUGUAGUCC
RNAcentral lists this ribosomal RNA (426 nucleotides) under uncultured bacterium. Its description in RNAcentral is "bacterial SSU rRNA". It matches the Rfam family "Bacterial small subunit ribosomal RNA", at positions 354 to 796 of the family's 1533-position model. The record is from RNAcentral.